Molecule: ribosomal RNA, 434 nt
Filed under: uncultured Oscillospiraceae bacterium
Lineage: Bacteria; Bacillati; Bacillota; Clostridia; Eubacteriales; Oscillospiraceae
Description: bacterial SSU rRNA
Rfam family: Bacterial small subunit ribosomal RNA
Source: RNAcentral
ACGGAAGGCAGCAGUGGGGAAUAUUGGGCAAUGGGCGCAAGCCUGACCCAGCAACGCCGUGUGAAGGAAGAAGGUCUUCGGAUUGUAAACUUUUGUCUUAUGGGACGAUAAUGACGGUACCAUAGGAGGAAGUCACGACUAACUACGUGCCAGCAGUCGCGGUAAUACGUAGGUGACAAGCGUUAUCCGGAAUUAUUGGGUGUAAAGGGUGCGUAGGCGGGCUGUAAAGUCAGAUGUGAAAUCCCGGGGCUCAACCCCGGAACUGCAUUUGAAACUUACGGUCUUGAGUGGAGUAGAGGUAAGCGGAAUUCCCAGUGUAGCGGUGAAAUGCGUAGAUAUUGGGAGGAACACCAGUGGCGAAGGCGGCUUACUGGGCUCUUACUGACGCUGAGGCACGAAAGUGUGGGGAGCAAACAGGAUUAGAUACCCUGGUA